RNAcentral lists this ribosomal RNA (795 nucleotides) under uncultured Sulfitobacter sp. RNAcentral describes it as "bacterial SSU rRNA". It matches the Rfam family "Bacterial small subunit ribosomal RNA", at positions 23 to 863 of the family's 1533-position model. The record is from RNAcentral. Lineage: Bacteria; Pseudomonadati; Pseudomonadota; Alphaproteobacteria; Rhodobacterales; Roseobacteraceae.
CUCAGAACGAACGCUGGCGGCAGGCCUAACACAUGCAAGUCGAGCGCAGUCCUUCGGGACCGAGCGGCGGACGGGUUAGUAACGCGUGGGAACAUACCCUUUUCUACGGAAUAGCCUCGGGAAACUGAGAGUAAUACCGUAUAAGCCCUUCGGGGGAAAGAUUUAUCGGGAAAGGAUUGGCCCGCGUUAGAUUAGAUAGUUGGUGGGGUAAUGGCCUACCAAGUCUACGAUCUAUAGCUGGUUUUAGAGGAUGAUCAGCAACACUGGGACUGAGACACGGCCCAGACUCCUACGGGAGGCAGCAGUGGGGAAUCUUAGACAAUGGGCGCAAGCCUGAUCUAGCCAUGCCGCGUGUGUGAUGAAGGUCUUAGGAUCGUAAAGCACUUUCGCCAGGGAUGAUAAUGACAGUACCUGGUAAAGAAACCCCGGCUAACUCCGUGCCAGCAGCCGCGGUAAUACGGAGGGGGUUAGCGUUGUUCGGAAUUACUGGGCGUAAAGCGUACGUAGGCGGAUCAGAAAGUUAGGGGUGAAAUCCCGAGGCUCAACCUCGGAACUGCCUCUAAAACUCCUGGUCUUGAGUUCGAGAGAGGUGAGUGGAAUUCCAAGUGUAGAGGUGAAAUUCGUAGAUAUUUGGAGGAACACCAGUGGCGAAGGCGGCUCACUGGCUCGAUACUGACGCUGAGGUACGAAAGUGUGGGGAGCAAACAGGAUUAGAUACCCUGGUAGUCCACACCGUAAACGAUGAAUGCCAGUCGUCGGGCAGUAUACUGUUCGGUGACACACCUAACGGAUUAA